RNAcentral lists this long non-coding RNA (1256 nucleotides) under Zostera marina. Its description in RNAcentral is "long non-coding RNA (ZMAR_LNC000390)". The record is from RNAcentral. Lineage: Eukaryota; Viridiplantae; Streptophyta; Magnoliopsida; Alismatales; Zosteraceae.
CAUGUAUAAGCUUGAUCCCUUGCGUUCAUCGUAACUAUAAAAGGUAAAUUAAUUCUAACGAUAGUAAGAACACGUUUUCGAUGUGUUGCUCCCUCCCUAGCCUUUCUACCGACACCCCGUUACUCAAGCACUCCUUAAAGAGAAGCACCCGCAGAACUGACGAAUGGCGACGUUAACUAGAGAAGACCGAUCGAAAAUCGCUAGCGCUCAUUUCUCCGUCGAUCUAUUUUUUAGGAGCAACGUCUUAUACCUUGAUCGGUCACUCCACUCUAUCCUUCCUAUUAUCACCCCGUUACCCAAGCACCCCACGCAGGACGCGAGACACCCCAGAACCGACGAGUGAUAAAGGUUAGAUAGAGAUAAACAUCAGGGAUCGCAAAACGCUCAUCUCCCUAAUGGUUAUCGGAUAGCUCCAAUCAAAGACAGUGAGGAUCACCAGAAACCGUUCAUAAAUCGAUCGCAUAAAUAAACUCUCCCGGGUUGCGCAAAUAACACAAGCCACGCAUCACCAAGUAAGUAAUCACCGAUUUUAUUAUUAUUAUUUUUAUUAUUUUUAAACAAUCGCCGAUUCCACUAUCUCACUCACCGAUUGCACACCCUGUUGGGUUACCUCUCGCCGAUUCCACCUUUCUCGCACUCGCCGGUUCCAAAACAAUCGUCGACAAUCUUCUCACACUCGCCGAUUCCAAUUUGGGGUUCCCUUGCGAGAUCAACCAUAAUCGUACGUGACUGUGGAGAGAGUGGAUGGAUCGCUGGCUCAAAGCAGACUCACGAAUGGAACGGCAGUGCUCACGAAAAACGCAAGCUAAUCUGCAGCUCUAUUAGUGUCGAAGUCACGUCUGGAGCUCACAUAUGUCUCAGAUCUGGAAUUAAAUCCAAAUCGGAAGAGUGGGGAGGACGCGCAGCAGAUCUCGAAGGCGGAGAUCGCUCUCACAUAUCACGGUAGAUCAGAACUCAAGAACAGUCGCUGGCGGAGUCUCCAAAGUUCUCCAACUCUCCUGGCAGAACACAAGGUCUUCUCCCGACAGAUCUCGCAGACGGAGAGCUCGAGAACUCGCAGACGGAGAUCACCAAAGCUCCCGGCAGAACGCAGGGUCUUCUCCUAUAUAUAUCAUACCAAUUCAACAACUUAAUGUCCAUCUAUUCAAUAUCGUAACAACACUUGGCUUAAUGCUAAUCAAGAGUUUAAUUUCAACUCAAAAAUCACGCUAAUAAUGGAGGGUAAAUUGGCAAUAACAUGCUUCAAUUUUUAAAAA